UGUCUUCUCGCUCAGAGCUUUGUCCAA
RNAcentral lists this non-coding RNA (27 nucleotides) under Rattus norvegicus (Norway rat). The record is from RNAcentral. Lineage: Eukaryota; Metazoa; Chordata; Mammalia; Rodentia; Muridae.